CUCUCAUCUUCCUACAAGCCUGUAACAGAGGAGUUUCCACUUCUGGGAAUCUUGGUACUUUAAUGUCAGGUUCCUUACUGUCUGUAGCCAAGGCUUAGAACCCAUACUGGAUUCCCAUACUGGACUACAACUGAGGUGGAGGUGACUUCUCAUGGGCCUCCAGAGGAAUCCAGGGCUUCUGCUGACAGGCCUGUGUGUGGGACUGCUUUUCAGUUGGAUGAACCUCGCUCAGCCAACCGACCUCUCAGCACUGGCUCACCACCCCCAUUUGUGUCAGACUACACGGGAUGCCGAAGGCCGCCACUACCCUGGUUUUUUCUGUCCUCGCCUCUCUGAUACUCCCGAGGAAGCCUACUGUUGCCACCUGCAGGCUGCUGGGGGUUCCUGCUGUACCCUGGAUGAAUUUGAGGCCCUGUACCAAGUAAACUUGUCUACUCUU
RNAcentral lists this long non-coding RNA (439 nucleotides) under Rattus norvegicus (Norway rat). Its description in RNAcentral is "long non-coding RNA NONRATT031553". Lineage: Eukaryota; Metazoa; Chordata; Mammalia; Rodentia; Muridae. The record is from RNAcentral.